GCCCCGAGGUGUUUUACACAUCAGGUUGCAAACCUGAAGUAGCAGUUUAGCCCCUGCCGGGGCUU
This 65-nucleotide transfer RNA is filed under the name Dicrossus filamentosus (checkerboard dwarf cichlid). Its description in RNAcentral is "tRNA-Cys". The record is from RNAcentral. Lineage: Eukaryota; Metazoa; Chordata; Actinopteri; Cichliformes; Cichlidae.